UAUUAAAAAGAAAACACACAUUAUUGGAAGCCAUUUCUACUAAUAUGUUACAUUUUAACUUAUGAUUUGAUUUGGAUACUGUCAUGAGAGGAGCUGUGAGUGCUGGGGAAGAUAAUGAUGACAAUUGAUAACCUUAAAGAAGCUCAGUACAUCCGAAUUGAAAGAGUAGAGGAAGCCUUCAGAGCCAUUGACUGAGAGAUUACUAUCGGGAAGGUUCCAGAGACAAUGCUUACAAAGACUUAGCCUGGAAGCACGGGAACAUACACUUGUCAACACCUUGCAUUUAUUCUGAAGUUAUGGAAGCUUUGAAACUUCAACCAGGAUUAUCUUUUCUUAACCUGGAAAGUGGAACCAGAUAUUUAAGUACAAUGGUAGCUUAAUUUUAGGUCUCUUUGGAAUAAAUCAUGGGAUUGAACUUCAUUCAGAUGUAGUGGAGUAUGCCAAGGAAAAACUGGAGAGCUUCAUCAAAAAUAGUGAUAGCUUUGAUAAAUGUGAAUUCUGUGAACCCGCAUUUGUGGUGGGUUUUUGCCUUCAGAUAUUCUGACAGUCAUCAGUACGAUGGAAUUUACUGUGGAGCUGGAGUCCAGAAAGACCAUGAAAACUACAUGAAGAUCUUACUCAGAGUUGGGGCCAUAUCGGUCAUGCCUGUAGAGGAUCAGUUGACACAGAUUGUAUGGAUUGGACAAAACACUUGGGAAAGUAAAAAUAUCCUUGCAGUUUCCUUUGCACUAGUACAAGCUAGUAAGAAUGAUAAUGGCACACCAGGCUCUGUGGGGCUCUCCCCACCCCCGGGUGCUGUCAGGAAUCUCCAAGACUUGGCUUGUAUUUACAUUCGAUGUACACUUAGAAACUUCAUAAAUGCAGGCCAAGGAGAUUUCACAAAGGGCUCCACCCAAGAGGAAAAGAAUGAGAGGUAAACAGAGAAUUAAUACUUACAUAUUUUUGGGUAAUCAGCUUAUCCCCCAGCCUCUUGACAGCAAAGAGAAUGAAAAAAUGGAAGAAGACAGCAAAGAAGAAGAGGAGAAAGAUCACAGCAAAGCCAUGAAGCGUGAGGAGCCACCUCAGAACCCACUGAGGGAAAAGAUAAUGAAGCGGCCACUCCUGGCAGUCUUUAAAGGCUUACUUGACAUAUUUUCAGGAUAAAUAA
Molecule: RNA transcript, 1147 nt
Organism: Mastomys coucha (southern multimammate mouse)
Lineage: Eukaryota; Metazoa; Chordata; Mammalia; Rodentia; Muridae
Gene name: protein-L-isoaspartate O-methyltransferase domain-containing protein 1 pseudogene
Exons: 1
Source: RefSeq, a predicted model, not a curated record